This 405-nucleotide ribosomal RNA is filed under the name uncultured bacterium. RNAcentral describes it as "bacterial SSU rRNA". It matches the Rfam family "Bacterial small subunit ribosomal RNA", at positions 509 to 916 of the family's 1533-position model. The record is from RNAcentral.
CAGCAGCCGCGGUAAUACGGAGGGWGCAAGCGUUGUCCGGAUUUAUUGGGUUUAAAGGGUACGUAGGCGGCCAAUUAAGUCAGUGGUGAAAGCCMGCRGCUCAACUGUUGAACUGCCAUUGAUACUGAUUGGCUCGAGUUCUGUUAAGGUAGGCGGAAUUGAUGGUGUAGCGGUGAAAUGCAUAGAUACCAUCAGGAACACCGAUUGCGAAGGCAGCUUACUAGGCAGAAACUGACGCUAAUGUACGAAAGCGUGGGGAUCGAACAGGAUUAGAUACCCUGGUAGUCCACGCCGUAAACGAUGCUCACUCGCUGUUGGCGAUACACAGUCAGCGGCCAAGCGAAAGCGUUAAGUGAGCCACCUGGGGAGUACGCUCGCAMGAGUGAAACUCAAAGGAAUUGACGG